Molecule: long non-coding RNA, 1121 nt
Organism: Siniperca chuatsi (mandarin fish)
Lineage: Eukaryota; Metazoa; Chordata; Actinopteri; Centrarchiformes; Sinipercidae
Exons: 5
Source: RefSeq, a predicted model, not a curated record
CAGCAACCCCUUAAGGCCGGAGCCAGCACCCUGUUGAUAUAGACUGUUUGAUCAUUGCAUGGGGGGUGACUCAUGUCCUCACUGACCAGCCGCUCUGAUAACACCCAAGAAUGGAAUGCAGCGGCCUGUGAAGAUGGAGAAGAAUGGAGGAAGUGUGAACUUAGGCAUUUACAUAGUAUUGUGUACCAGGAGGAGCUCAGGUCAGAUAACCAACUGCUUCAGACAUAGCAGCUAAAUUUUACAAGUUUAAACCUUUAGGCAGAAACAUAGGGACUUUUUUCAUUCUUUGCAGUGACUCUAAAUGGAGGGCUGAACCUUCAAGCAGAGGAGUCUGAGUCAUCAACUGAUACCUCAACACCCGGGACCUCAUCUGAUACUGACUCCUCAUCUGUGCUUUCAGAGGACGUGGUAUUACCCGACCUGUGGGGCGAUUUGGAUCAAUAUUUCCAUCAAGGGUUAUCGCCAUCAUCACCGCCACAGGAUGACGCAACAGGACAUGCCUCAGACGGUCAAAAACAUUAUACAUUCUCUAGAGUCUGUCCGGUUAACCGGAAGAGAUCCAGGGAUGUGAUACCGCAUCAAAAUUUUGAAGAACAACCGCCAUUUCACCAGGAGUCUGUCUCAACCGCUAAUCAACCGCUGAUGGCGCGGAGAGGUCUAGGCCUCAACCAGCGGACAGAGAUCCAGGAUUCUCAUCGGGUCGCAACAAGAGGAGAACCAGUUCUGAGAAUCCACACCUGAGAUCCGCGGGGCUUCCAGCAAAGGUUUUCCAUCGGCACGCUCAAACAGACACAGGUCCAGACCAUCCAGGUGUCCUCGGUGCUGCAGAGCUACACGCCAGCAAAUGGAGCUGAUGUCUAGAGCCUUUUGGCUCCUCUGUCAGAAGUUAAAUGUACAAAGUGACAAUUUGUAAACUGUUUCAGACUGUGAUUUUUAUCAUCUGUAUAAAUUGAGGAUGUUGAUUUAGGUAGAUAGACGACGGGCCACUGAUGGGGGAGUAUUCCCGUCCUUAGUCUGUAUUGUUCUGGGCAGCCGGGUGUGAGAUCGAUGAUUAAAUACCCGUGAGGAUCUUUGGUAGCAUCUUCAAAACUUUCUAAUAAAAAGGCUUUUCAACCGUGAAA